AUCCUGGUUAGAAGGAGUUUAGGCGCAUGCAGACAGACAUUGUGUUUUGAGGACGUCUUAGUAGCUCCGAGAAAAGUCAGCGUUAGUCAAGGAUGCUCGUAAGUCAUUGCUGCAGGCAACUGUCAUCUCCUUGGGAUCCCUCUGGACCGCAAAGGUUUUAAACACAGAAGAGAAAGAGUCUGAGGAGAGGGAGUCGGUUUAACUGAUGCUGAGCCCUGACCUGCGGGAAGAGCUCGCUGGCAUUCACAGGCAAUUUGUUUCCUAGGGAAACUCCAGGAGCAGAGAGCAGCAGGCUAUGCAGAAUAACCGCUGGCUGAUGGGACACACCGGGGAGGACUGCCUGGUACUGAGUGCAGCAAAGGUAGGCAAGGGCCUUGUGUUCCAAAGAGCAGCUUCCUCCAGGCUGAGGAGCCUUGCACACAGCCUCGGCAGGCCAGGCAGUUUCUUGCUUGUUGUCGCCUUAGCUCCUGCUGGCUGCUGCUGCGGACUUCCCCAGGCAAGCGUCCACAAUAAACGCUGCCUGCCUGGAGCUGGAGAUCUCACAUGUUAGCUCAGGAGUGCUGAGUUUCAUUCUAGGACAGUCUUAGGGGAAUCUAAGAGGUCCCUCUUCGAGAAUGUUUGGACAACACAGCAGGGGGGGCAGAGGAAACCCAACUCUUAUGUCCUCUAAACAGGGGUCUGGAAGUCAAUUCUGGGGGAGCCACCGGGGUGUUAGGUUCAAGGUUCCCAGACAGAAUCCAGCUGGUAGGAUUCAAAUAGGCACACAUGGGAUAGGUGCCCUGCCCUAUGGGGUUUCCCCGUGCAGCAGACCAUGGCCGCUGAGUCUUAAGUCCGACUCCAGCUUGGGUUAUAGGGGAACGAACAUUCAAGGAACCUGUCCCUGCCUCGCCCACUUCCAGGAACUGUUUAUGUUUCAGACAAUUCCUGACCCUGCCCAGGACUCCUGUCAUAGAGUGGCAGAAGGACACAAAGAUUUGGUUAAAGGGACAGCCAGGAAAGUCUGUCAUUCUGUUGCAAUUGUACAGGGAAUGCUAUCUGGGUCAGGCAGGCUGGUGUUCUUUGCAUACUGAGCUGAAUAGGGCAAUAGCUCUGUGGGUUUUUCUGUGCCCUGACCCCAAAGCUGAUUUGGACACCUUCCCUCUUCCCUGUCUCAGUCUCCUGCAUGGGUGCCAACUUCAUCUUAGCUCUCUGACCCUAUAGAAAAAGCUUUAUGAGUUUCAGGGGCGGUGCGCAUGCUGACACACAUGGAUAAUCCUCCAACUGGGGCAGCCGAGGCAGGGAGCCGGUGAAUGGGGAGGCCAGCCUGGGUUACACAGUGAGAUCCUUCCUGAAAUGGAAAAUAAGGGACACACACUGCCAAGCCUCACCCAGCAGUCAGUCAGUGAUGGCUCACAACUCCACGGGGCUUGCUACUACUCUAUUCAUAUGGCGCGGUGAGCCACAGGCUCAACUGCAAGCAGCAGAUGCGGGGUCCCGAGCAUUCUCCCAGCUGCAUGCACUCAAUAGAAACUUCCUAAAGCUCCGAAAAACCGAAACCAAAAUGGAGUGAGACCCAAACAACAACAACAACGACGAUAGUUCUACCUUUCUUUGGGUCCCAUCAUCAGUCAUCAUCAUCGUCAUCAUCACCAUCAGCCACCACAUUAGGGAAAAUAAGCCCCGUUCCUUAGACUCAACGAGACAAGCCUCCCAGGAGCCCUGAAGUCAACAGAAGGUGCAGAUAUUUUCCCUCUCAGCGCCACCCUCCCCCUAUCAGAGAGUGGACUGACUCUCCGCCCUUGCCCUGGGAACCAAGAGGGACCAGACUCACCUCCUGUCCCACUUCUUGUCUCUCCCAGGCCCUGCAGCUGCCCUCCAAACCAGUCUACCUUCUAAACAGCCUGUGGGGAUGUGCUAAGACUGGAAGGGGUCACUGGCGGGCUCAUUGUUUAUGGGCUCCAUAAAACUGACAUUCAGAGGGAGGGGGGAGGGGGGACACACUUCCUUUAUGACCCAGGAGGACAAUAAAGUUAUAUGAUUAACAGUGA
This 2027-nucleotide long non-coding RNA is filed under the name Mus musculus (house mouse). Its description in RNAcentral is "predicted gene 9902". Lineage: Eukaryota; Metazoa; Chordata; Mammalia; Rodentia; Muridae. The record is from RNAcentral.